Oryzias melastigma (Indian medaka) is the source of this 1966-nucleotide RNA transcript. It is a transcript of the gene named GTPase IMAP family member 4, with no coding region annotated. The transcript has 3 exons. NCBI's taxonomy places the organism in Eukaryota, Metazoa, Chordata, Actinopteri, Beloniformes, Adrianichthyidae. The record is from RefSeq and is a predicted model, not a curated record.
UUGCCUCUGCUUUUUCCGGUGGAGGAGUAGGCGCUGUCAUUCAGUGACGUUCGUCAUCUACAAUUUUGAGAGGACACUAAAAAGUUCUCUAACUGUGAUACGACUGAGAAUGGAAGCAAAUAAACCACUUCAUACAUCAGCAGCUGGAGAUGCAUGUGGACCAGAGGAGACUAACACCACGGCGUCGGCAGCAAAGGUCGCCGUUGCCCGUCUGCCUGAAAUCCGUCUGGUGGUGGUGGGAUGGAGGUGGCCCGGGAAAAGCCUGACAGGAAACACCAUCAUCGGCAGGGAGGAGUUUCACUUGGAACGAGCGGCUGAGUUCUGCAUCAAGAGGGAGACUGAGGUGGACGGACGGGAGGUCACCGUGGUGGACACUCCCGGAUGGUUUUCCACGCAGGAUACGCCGCCCUCCUAUAAACAGGAAUUGGCGAAGGGUCCUUCUCUUUGCCCGCCGGGGCCUCACGCCUUCCUACUCGUCAUUCCCAUCGGCAUGUUCACAGAGGUGGACCGCAGCCGCAUCGAAGAGCACCUGAGCCUGUUUGGGGAGCGGGUCUGGAACCACACCAUCGUGGUGUUCACCUGGGCGGAGGUGCUGAGGAAGAUUUCCAUCGAGAGGUACAUCCGCAGGGAGGGGCAGGAGCUGCAGUGGGUCCUCAGGAAGUGUAAGAAAAGGUACUUCGUCAUCAACAACUCCAUAUUUGGGGAGAAUCCUCAAGUGGGGAGUUUAAUGCAGAGGGUGGAGAAGAUGGUGGCAGAGGAGGGGGGGCACUAUAGUUUAGAAGCUGAAGUGAAAGCUUUGGAUCAGAACCAGAAUGCAGCCGGAGAGGCUCAGGCGACACCAGAACCGAGCUCUGAACAGGAUCUGACGAACGCCAUGGGAGUGGUGUCGCUUUCCUCUGAGUGAGACUGUAAGGAGAAACCGUCACUUCUAGAGCCCAUCAAGUAAAUAUAGGCACUAAAACAUCCAGAGCAACUAAGAAACAAAAGUGUGACUCGGUCACAAUUAAAUAAAUCCAGUUUGUGGCUCAUUUUUGUGAACUGUUACUAAAUGUGUAAAGAAAUGUGGUUUAUCAUAUUUAUUAUUAGUAACAAACAUGUUACUGUGUGCACUUAUUGUGGUAUAGAAAGCCUUUUUAACAUCUUGUCUUCCUGUUUUAUCCUGUGAUAUUUGGGUAAAAAAAGAUGUAUUUAGUGAAACAGUAAAGCUUCUGACACGUUUUUUUACGCUAAAAGAAGCACAGAAUGUUACACAAUAGAGAGCCUUUGCUGUUUUGAAACACUCCUUAAUGUAAGUGGAUCACAUCACUGUAUUUAAUGAACUGGUUUCCAAAUGAUUCCCUUUUCUUUGUGACCAAAUCGGUGAUGUUUUGUUCCUUCUGCUGCCAUGUUUACAUGUUUAGUUUGCCUCAUUUGUUAAAAAAAAAUGGGUCACAUGCAAGUAAAGAUGCUGAGAAGAAAUGAAACGAGUAUAAAGUUUUAUUUGUGGCAUUUAUGAAACUUGUUUGUUUGUUUGUUUUUUUUUUAAUCAUUUUAUGAAUCGGCUGUUUGUGUUAAAUUGAAUCUAAAUCAACUAUUUCAACUUUUUUUUUUUUUUUUAAGGGAACAGAAGAAUUGUUAAUUUUAGAGUCAGAGAAAAUCCUAUUUAGGACCCAUUCCAUUCAUGUGUUGUAAAAUGGUUUCCAGUUGUCUAUUAAUUUUAAUUAUGCUAUUUUCAGCCAAAAUAAAAAUGAAAAACAAAUGUUUUUUAGGAAAUGGUUUCUGUAGAAUGCCAGUUGUUCAUUGGAAAUUCUGAGUUGUGGGUGGGACUAUUGGUCCAGAGCAACCCCGCCCUCUCUUCCCAUCACCACUACUGAGAGCUCUUUGAUUGUAUUUUUUUCUACAUCACAAAUAGACUCUUUCAAACUGACUUUUUUGUCUUGCUUCUGAUUCACAUCGAUUGAAAUAAAGAAAUUCUCAGAAAUACACA